GGGUGAGUAAUGAAGUAAGAUAUGUUAAUUAUUUAUCAUAUUUGUUUUAAUGGAUUUUGCAAUUUAUUUUUUAAAUGAUUUGUUUAGUUUUGACGAAUUUUCAUAGUGGCUUUUCACUAAAAAGGGUUUUGUUAAAAAAGUUUGGGAUUUUGAUGCUUGUGAAUUGUGAUGACUACACGAACAUCAUGGGUAGAUAUGGCUGC
RNAcentral lists this long non-coding RNA (203 nucleotides) under Gossypium raimondii (Peruvian cotton). RNAcentral describes it as "long non-coding RNA (GRAI_LNC009171)". The record is from RNAcentral. Lineage: Eukaryota; Viridiplantae; Streptophyta; Magnoliopsida; Malvales; Malvaceae.